UUUAAUAAUGAUAGAUAAACUAGGAUUCCCUCCGACUUUUGUCAAGGAAACAAUUUCUUUUAGUAGACAUGGAUUGCUGCUCUCCACCCAACCUAGCCAAACUUUUUUUUGUGAACUCCUAAAACAAGUGGUUUUGACAAUCUUUCCAUAUCUUUUAAAGUUCUUAGCAUUCAUGAUGAUGGUUCCUCUUCGAAUCACAAUUCCUUGGAGCGGUUUUUCAACUAUAGCUCAAGAAGUUAUGGAUGCUAUACCAAGAUAUGGAGCUGCACUCAUGAAUCUGGACAGGAUUUCUUUCGAAUACUACACCUAGAAUAGUUUGGCAAAUCAAGGAAACUCAUUAUUGGUCAAUGAAGCUAACUUUGCACCACAACGAGAGGGAGAUGCUUCUUCUUUGAAGUCAGUAAUCAAAAUCCUUUCUUUGGUCCAUCGAAUCAACCAGGGCCUUCUAAUGUUUGGUCUCAUAUUGAUUUCUUGCCAAGCUAUGGUUUUCUUACUGAUCAGGUUAUGAGUGAAGAACUUGCAGACCUGCUGCAGCUAAAGCAUCCUAGGAUUAUAAGAGAUGUAUUUGUAAAGGUCUCAUCUUUUCCCUAAUGAAAGACCGUUAUGGAUGGCACGCCUUUAUACAUUGAUUAAAGCUUGGAAGAAUCAUCAACUUGAACUUAUUGAAGAAAGAUCAGCUUAAACUCCAACUUGUUUCUCGACAUAGCAAUAUGUAGAGUCGGGUCAGAGGCAGUUUGGAGUUAUAUUACAGUGCCUAGAUGUCCUUCAACUCGAGCAAAAUGAGGUAAAUUGAUGCUCUCCUUUUGAGGUCUUCUUCUUAUGACAUAGAACAUAUAAGCUGAAACUUAAUAGAUGUGAUCCUGCAAUAUCUUGUAUCUUAGUCUUCUUAGCAGAUUCAAUCCACAAUUACAAUGAAAAGAGCCAGUGAUGGUGUGAUUGCAUUCGGACACUAGCAGCUAAUUGUUCCUCUUGGUUCAAGUAUUUCCCAGUUAAUCAAAUGUACUUUCAUGUUAAACAUAAUACAACCCUUACGCGUUGUCAGACAGCAUACUGAAUUUAGCACAAAAUUAUGUGUAUUUGAUGUUAAACAGUCCACAUCACCCUUUUCUGAAAACACCUUGAUCUGUCGUUUGUUGUCUUAAAGUCUGACUGUUGUUUUGCAAAAACACAAUUUGCGUAAUAUGAUUACAGUUGCUAUUUAGACAAGCCAUGGAGUAUUGUCCGAAGUUGGCAAUGGAUCAACGAGGAUGUGUCUCCUUGAAACCUUUCAUCCUCCACAGCAAAGGUUACUACAAGAACGCACUUCUAGAACUCAUCUGCAGCCAUGGAGUAUACCUCUCACAAGACCCUCUAAGGUCAUGUCAUACACCAGCACUCAACACAUCUAUUGGAAUCAUAACACAAGGAAACUUCCAUAGCAGUUGAGUUUGAUUAAUGUUUUAUGAUAGAAACGAUAGAUACAGGAAAACAAAAAACAAAAUAAAUAUAUUUUUGAGAUAGUAAAAGAAUACAUCUCUUUUAUUUUUACUUUUUGUUUUUUUACUACGAGAUACUAACUAAACGCAAAUGAGACUAAUAUGCUAUCAUAAAUUGAAAGUAGAACAUCUAAUUUCAUUGAAAAAGAACAGAAAAAUGACACUCUUAAACGCAAUCAAGCAUUUGUUCACCACUUAAGAGUUAAGAUCAUUAGAGAGUAUAAAACUGUAUUUUCUAGUUCAUGACCUUUGUUUAUGAAAAAUGAGUUGGGCCCUGAAAAAAGGGGUACCAGAUAGUAAUAACCAGGCCCAUCGUUGGCUAAUGCAAGCUAGAAAACCUCACGACACUCUGUCGGCUAUCUUCUAACCCUCACAUCACCAUCAGCCGCACGAUAUCCAUCCAACAGUCCAGAUUAAUCCACAAACCUCUAUAAGUUGUCCCAGCCACUAGGGUUUUAGUCAUCUACUCAUCUUUACAUUGCCUUCUCUGCCUGCCUGCCUCUCAGCUGCAGCCUCUCUCGCACUUGCUUUCAACUUCUUUUAGCUUCAUACACUUCAAAGUUCUGAUCUUUUUUUCCUGAUUUUCAAAACAAAACCCAGUUCUUUGUUUCCAUUACUUAGCACGUUAAGAGUUCAAAGAUCUGACUUUUAUGCUUGAUAGACUUAAAAGGUUUAGACUUUUUACUGUUUGCUAAAUACCAGUUCGUUUUUUUUUUGUUGAUUAGCACUUGAAAACUUCAAAUAUUUAAUCUUUGUUAGUUUUAUGAAAUUUGAUUUUGUAAAUCAAAGUCGUGUUCUUAUCCUAUUCUUUAUUAUUCUUGUUUAACUCUUAAUCAUGUUUUUUUUUGUUAAACGUGACGGGGAUUUUUACUUCAAAUCCUUACUAUAUAAUUGGAGCAAACGAUUUAAAUCAAUGUUUGUAUAUUCCAAAGUAAAACGUCACAAAGAAAAUCCCAGGCAUGUCGAGGUCCUCCACCGCGAGCUCCUCCGUGUAAUGGGAUGGUCUCAUAUUCCAUUGCCUUGUGUAGCGGCGUCGCUGCCAUUACAAUUUGGGACUGGCCAUGAGGCAAACAUUUA
Molecule: long non-coding RNA, 2552 nt
Organism: Populus trichocarpa (black cottonwood)
Lineage: Eukaryota; Viridiplantae; Streptophyta; Magnoliopsida; Malpighiales; Salicaceae
Exons: 3
Source: RefSeq, a predicted model, not a curated record